CAGAUGCUGCAAAACUAGUUGGUGGAGAUCAAGCCUGCUCUGGCUGGCUUCAUCCUCUCACAUGAAAAGCCUAUGGAGAAGAAUUGGGAAGAAGAGUUUGCGUCUUGCUAAGCGAAAUGGCUCAGUGGAGGACUGCUACAACACCUCGUCACUCUGCCACGUAGACGCUGGUCAGCCAGCCUCGGACCAGGAGAGAUUGGAGGUGGAUACCAGUACAGAGUGCUCUAGCGAGGAGCCUCUUGCUGGGCAGCAAGAGGCGGCCGCUACCGGGAAUCGUUCGAUGGAUUCCCUCCGAAAUCCAGUGACAGGGAGCUUUGAUAAGACCAUUUUGGAGGAGGAGGAAGAGGAAGAGGAGGCAGAAGAUGGGGACCAAAGAGAGGCGGAUGGGGCAGAGACCGAGGCACUGGCGCCAGCCACAUCGGUGGAGGACUUGGAUUGUGAAGGCUCUUCCAGCUACUG
Molecule: long non-coding RNA, 459 nt
Organism: Pollicipes pollicipes
Lineage: Eukaryota; Metazoa; Arthropoda; Thecostraca; Pollicipedomorpha; Pollicipedidae
Exons: 4
Source: RefSeq, a predicted model, not a curated record